UCCACCUCUACCUCAAUGUGCCCUGAUAGUUUAUGUGAUCUAUAAUAAGUAGCAAAAGAGGUUGUUACAGAUUUCACUAGCUGAAUUUUGAAGCACUUAGAUUCUUUCCCAUCGUAACUCUCUCGAGAGUCGCUCGCAACACCUUCGCCAUCAUCAAUCUAUGCAUCCACAUACCGAAAACUUCCUUCACUGCCCGAAAAUCAUCCAUCUCCACGUCUGCGGUUAACUAUAGCUCCAGCUUAUCAACCUCCAUCAACCAAGUCGAAGCUUCACUCUCAAUUAUAGCCUCGAAGGAUCUGUCAUUUGCUAGGGAAUUUGGUGACUCUAUAGAAGCUAUUACCUCUACAGCACCCUCGUCUCUGUCUCACCUUGAAUCCCCACCUAAUUUUAAACACCAUCUAAAUCUCUUUCAAAAAUUGGUCCCUCACUCUUAUUCUGAAAUAGAAG
Molecule: long non-coding RNA, 447 nt
Filed under: Eucalyptus grandis
Lineage: Eukaryota; Viridiplantae; Streptophyta; Magnoliopsida; Myrtales; Myrtaceae
Description: long non-coding RNA (EGRA_LNC002263)
Source: RNAcentral